CCCCCUCUUAGUGCAAUAAAAUAAAAGAGAGGGGGAGCAGAAGAAGGCAGCAGCAUCAAUGAUGAGGAAAAUCUCCAGCUGUCUGGUCAGGAGCAUGCCAACAAUAACAGUGCAGGACCUUAUCACAGCUGCUCACUGAUGUCUCAUGUCUGCAUUGUGGGGGAUAGCAGCAAUGAGCUUCAGAAAUUACAAAGACUCCGGAGAGACAUCUCUGGGAGCGAUGAGAUGAGCUGCAGUGAUUCAUACGGUUUCCAAGGAGACGGGAAUCUCAUGAGCCAGUUGAGAAGCAUCGGAUGAGCUGAGCCCGUGGCACUGCCUUGGGAUCGUGCCCUUCCAGGUCAGUGGACACUUGAAUCUCAUUGAAAG
This is a long non-coding RNA of Hemiscyllium ocellatum (epaulette shark), 366 nucleotides long. RefSeq lists it as uncharacterized. NCBI's taxonomy places the organism in Eukaryota, Metazoa, Chordata, Chondrichthyes, Orectolobiformes, Hemiscylliidae. The transcript has 3 exons. The record is from RefSeq and is a predicted model, not a curated record.